Vicia villosa (hairy vetch) is the source of this 2380-nucleotide RNA transcript. RefSeq lists it as uncharacterized. NCBI's taxonomy places the organism in Eukaryota, Viridiplantae, Streptophyta, Magnoliopsida, Fabales, Fabaceae. The transcript is spliced from 23 exons. The record is from RefSeq and is a predicted model, not a curated record.
CUAGAUAUAAACGAAAAGGGUUCAGCGGUUUCGGCUUCGCUCGUCAUGCUAUGAUAUCCCAAAAUAUCACCCUUCCCGCUCGGAUAUAAACACAAACAUUUAGCCUACAAAACUCACGUCAUUUCCCAUUUCCCCCAAAUCACAAAAAUGAAGUACGUUUUGAUCACCGGAGGAGUAGUAAGCGGCCUCGGCAAAGGCGUCACCGCCAGUAGCAUCGGCGUCGUGCUUAAGGCCUGUGGCCUUCGCGUCACUUCCAUCAAAAUCGAUCCGUAUUUGAACAUAGACGCUGGCACCAUGUCUCCCUUUGAACAUGGAGAGGUUUUUGUUCUUGAUGAUGGCGGAGAGGUUGAUUUGGAUUUGGGAAAUUAUGAGCGUUUCCUUGAUGUCACGCUUACAAAGGAUAACAACAUCACCACUGGGAAAAUAUAUCAGUCUGUUCUUGAGAAGGAGCGCAAAGGGGACUAUCUUGGGAAAACUGUUCAGGUGGUUCCGCAUAUCACUGAUGCCAUCAGAAAUUGGAUUGAGUCGGUUGCUGUGAUCCCAGUGGAUGGAAAUGAAGGCCCUGCUGAUGUCUGUGUGAUUGAGCUUGGAGGCACUGUGGGUGAUAUUGAAUCUAUGCCGUUUAUUGAGGCUCUGCGGCAAUUGUCCUUUCAAGUGGGGCCUGACAACUUCUGUCUCAUCCAUGUUAGCCUGAUACCAGUGUUGGGUGUAGUGGGGGAGCAAAAAACAAAGCCUACACAACAUAGUGUCAGGGAACUGAGAGCAUUGGGCUUGACCCCUCAUCUUUUAGCAAGUCGCUCUGCUGAGCCUCUGCUGGAUAGCACUAGGGAAAAACUCUCACAAUUCUGCCAUGUUCCAAUUAACAAUAUUCUGAAUAUCCAUGAUGUACCAAAUAUUUGGCACAUUCCCCUGUUACUUAGAAAUCAAAAUGCCCACCAUUCAAUUUUACAGCAGUUUAACUUACUUAGCCGUGCUACGCCUCCUGAUUUGCAGCAAUGGACUGAGAUGGCUGAGAGCUAUGACAAUCUUACUGAAUCUGUUAGGAUCGCGAUGGUGGGAAAAUAUGUUGGUCUAACAGAUUCAUAUUUAUCCGUUGUAAAGGCCCUACUGCAUGCUUGCGUUGCACGUUCAGUGAGACCAUCAAUUGACUGGAUUGCAGCUUCUGACCUUGAAGAUGAGAGUGCACAAUCUACACCAGAAGCACAUGCUGCAGCGUGGAAGACUCUGAGGAGUGCUGCUUGUGUCUUGGUUCCCGGAGGAUUUGGAGAUCGUGGUGUGAGGGGUAUGAUGCUAGCUGCCAAAUAUGCCAGAGAGAACAAUGUUCCUUACCUGGGGAUUUGCUUGGGAAUGCAAAUUUCUGUAAUUGAGUUUGCUAGAUCAGUUUUGGGCUGGGAAAGAGCGAACAGUGUAGAGUUUGAUGCCCAAACACCGAAUCCUGUUGUAAUUUUCAUGCCAGAGGGUUCACGGACGCAUAUGGGAAGUACCAUGAGACUUGGAUCUCGAAGAACACUCUUACAUACACGUGAUUGUAUCACUUCCAAACUGUACGGAAGUUCCGAGUACGUGGAUGAACGGCAUCGUCACAGAUAUGAGGUAAAUCCGGAUGUCAUUGAAACUUUAGAAGAAGCUGGGCUAAAAUUUGUCGGCAAGGAUGAAAGUGGAAAAAGAAUGGAGAUCUUAGAGCAUCCAAGUCACCCAUUCUAUGUUGGCGUGCAGUUUCAUCCUGAAUUCAAAUCUCGGCCUGGGAGACCAUCUGCUUUGUUUUUAGGUCUCAUAUUGGCGGCAACAGGGAAGUUGGAAGAACAUAUCACAAGUAUUCAUGAGAAUGGAAGCUGAUGUACGAUUCUUUACUAUAGGACUCAUUCCUACAUUACUUUUCUAAGUUAAAUUGGCUCUCUUAAGGGAAAAUAAUUGGGAGGGCAAGAAAGAGGGAAGUAGGAACUGAAGGAGGAAUGGGAAACUCUGAAGUAUAGUAUGUGUGCAGCUGCCUCAUGCUUCUCUAGAAAAUGAAAGUAGUGAUAAUUGUUUGAUGUGCAUAGAGGUCUGGAGCAGAGCUAAUUUCCUCGUCUACUCUAUAUAAGGAAGUUACUUUUUAUUUCAAAGCUAUUAAUUAGCCCGACACUUACGGAUUUAUAUAUAACUACAGUUUAAGAUUGUUUCCUUAUUCACUUUACCAUGCCCUAAAUGUACGUGGUCUUUUUCUAUUUAUGUUUGCUAAUUAGGUUUAAAAUUUUCUUUUCAAAAAUUGUAAGUAGAAUUAAGGUGAUACACGUGUAUUUGAUAUUUUAUUUCCCUAGAAUUGUGUUAUUUACCCGCCUGGUGAUUCAUUAAGAUAAAUGAAAUUGUUUGAAGAUAAUAUUAUAAUAUUAUAAUUAUGUCA